CCCGAGGAAAAGAAAUCAACCGAGAUUCCCCCAGUAGCGGCGAGCGAACGGGGAGGAGCCCAGAGCCUGAAUCAGCAUGUGUGUUAGUGGAAGCGUCUGGAAAGGCGCGCGAUACAGGGUGACAGCCCCGUACACAAAAGCGCAUGUGCUGUGAGCUCGAUGAGUAGGGCGGGACACGUGGUAUCCUGUCUGAAUAUGGGGGGACCAUCCUCCAAGGCUAAAUACUCCUGACUGACCGAUAGUGAACCAGUACCGUGAGGGAAAGGCGAAAAGAACCCCGGCGAGGGGAGUGAAAAAGAACCUGAAACCGUGUACGUACAAGCAGUGGGAGCACAGGUUUACCUGUGUGACUGCGUACCUUUUGUAUAAUGGGUCAGCGACUUAUAUUCUGUAGCAAGGUUAACCGUAUAGGGGAGCCGGAGGGAAACCGAGUCUUAACCGGGCGUUAAGUUGCAGGGUAUAGACCCGAAACCCGGUGAUCUAGCCAUGGGCAGGUUGAAGGUUGGGUAACACUAACUGGAGGACCGAACCGACUAAUGUUGAAAAAUUAGCGGAUGACCUGUGGCUGGGGGUGAAAGGCCAAUCAAACCGGGAGAUAGCUGGUUCUCCCCGAAAGCUAUUUAGGUAGCGCCUCGUGAAUUCAUCUCCGGGGGUAGAGCACUGUUUCGGCUAGGGGGCCAUCCCGGCUUACCAACCCGAUGCAAACUGCGAAUACCGGAGAAUGUUAUCACGGGAGACACACGGCGGGUGCUAACGUCCGUCGUGAAGAGGGAAACAACCCAGACCGCCAGCUAAGGUCCCAAAGUCAUGGUUAAGUGGGAAACGAUGUGGGAAGGCCCAGACAGCCAGGAUGUUGGCUUAGAAGCAGCCAUCAUUUAAAGAAAGCGUAAUAGCUCACUGGUCGAGUCGGCCUGCGCGGAAGAUGUAACGGGGCUAAACCAUGCACCGAAGCUGCGGCAGCGACACUCAGGUGUUGUUGGGUAGGGGAGCGUUCUGUAAGCCUGUGAAGGUGGCCUGUGAGGGUUGCUGGAGGUAUCAGAAGUGCGAAUGCUGACAUAAGUAACGAUAAAGCGGGUGAAAAGCCCGCUCGCCGGAAGACCAAGGGUUCCUGUCCAACGUUAAUCGGGGCAGGGUGAGUCGACCCCUAAGGCGAGGCCGAAAGGCGUAGUCGAUGGGAAACGGGUUAAUAUUCCCGUACUUGGUGUUACUGCGAAGGGGGGGACGGAGAAGGCUAUGUUGGCCGGGCGACGGUUGUCCCGGUUUAAGCGUGUAGGUGUGUGUUCCAGGUAAAUCCGGUUCACUUUAACACUGAGGCGUGACGACGAGGCACUACGGUGCUGAAGCAACAAAUGCCCUGCUUCCAGGAAAAGCCUCUAAGCAUCAGGUAACAUCAAAUCGUACCCCAAACCGACACAGGUGGUCAGGUAGAGAAUACCAAGGCGCUUGAGAGAACUCGGGUGAAGGAACUAGGCAAAAUGGUGCCGUAACUUCGGGAGAAGGCACGCUGACACGUAGGUGAAGUGAUUUACUCAUGGAGCUGAAGUCAGUCGAAGAUACCAGCUGGCUGCAACUGUUUAUUAAAAACACAGCACUGUGCAAACACGAAAGUGGACGUAUACGGUGUGACGCCUGCCCGGUGCCGGAAGGUUAAUUGAUGGGGUCAGCGCAAGCGAAGCUCCUGAUCGAAGCCCCGGUAAACGGCGGCCGUAACUAUAACGGUCCUAAGGUAGCGAAAUUCCUUGUCGGGUAAGUUCCGACCUGCACGAAUGGCGUAAUGAUGGCCAGGCUGUCUCCACCCGAGACUCAGUGAAAUUGAACUCGCUGUGAAGAUGCAGUGUACCCGCGGCAAGACGGAAAGACCCCGUGAACCUUUACUAUAGCUUGACACUGAACAUUGAGCCUUGAUGUGUAGGAUAGGUGGGAGGCUUUGAAGUGUGGACGCCAGUCUGCAUGGAGCCGACCUUGAAAUACCACCCUUUAAUGUUUGAUGUUCUAACGUGGACCCGUUACCCGGGUUGCGGACAGUGUCUGGUGGGUAGUUUGACUGGGGCGGUCUCCUCCUAAAGAGUAACGGAGGAGCACGAAGGUUGGCUAAUCCUGGUCGGACAUCAGGAGGUUAGUGCAAUGGCAUAAGCCAGCUUGACUGCGAGCGUGACGGCGCGAGCAGGUGCGAAAGCAGGUCAUAGUGAUCCGGUGGUUCUGAAUGGAAGGGCCAUCGCUCAACGGAUAAAAGGUACUCCGGGGAUAACAGGCUGAUACCGCCCAAGAGUUCAUAUCGACGGCGGUGUUUGGCACCUCGAUGUCGGCUCAUCACAUCCUGGGGCUGAAGUAGGUCCCAAGGGUAUGGCUGUUCGCCAUUUAAAGUGGUACGCGAGCUGGGUUUAGAACGUCGUGAGACAGUUCGGUCCCUAUCUGCCGUGGGCGCUGGAGAACUGAGGGGGGCUGCUCCUAGUACGAGAGGACCGGAGUGGACGCAUCACUGGUGUUCGGGUUGUCAUGCCAAUGGCACUGCCCGGUAGCUAAAUGCGGAAGAGAUAAGUGCUGAAAGCAUCUAAGCACGAAACUUGCCCCGA
RNAcentral lists this ribosomal RNA (2573 nucleotides) under Salmonella enterica. RNAcentral describes it as "bacterial LSU rRNA". It matches the Rfam family "Bacterial large subunit ribosomal RNA", at positions 210 to 2802 of the family's 2925-position model. RNAcentral also lists the same sequence under 3 other names. Lineage: Bacteria; Pseudomonadati; Pseudomonadota; Gammaproteobacteria; Enterobacterales; Enterobacteriaceae. The record is from RNAcentral.